RNAcentral lists this ribosomal RNA (539 nucleotides) under uncultured bacterium. RNAcentral's name for it is "bacterial SSU rRNA". It matches the Rfam family "Bacterial small subunit ribosomal RNA", at positions 355 to 895 of the family's 1533-position model. The record is from RNAcentral.
UGAGGAAUAUUGGUCAAUGGGCGCGAGCCUGAACCAGCCAAGUAGCGUGCAGGAUGACGGCCCUAUGGGUUGUAAACUGCUUUUGUAUGGGGAUAAAGUCAAUCACGUGUGAUUGUUUGCAGGUACCAUACGAAUAAGGACCGGCUAAUUCCGUGCCAGCAGCCGCGGUAAUACGGAAGGUCCGGGCGUUAUCCGGAUUUAUUGGGUUUAAAGGGAGCGUAGGCCGGAGAUUAAGUGUGUUGUGAAAUGUAGACGCUCAACGUCUGACUUGCAGCGCAUACUGGUUUCCUUGAGUACGCACAACGUUGGCGGAAUUCGUCGUGUAGCGGUGAAAUGCUUAGAUAUGACGAAGAACUCCGAUUGCGAAGGCAGCUGACGGGAGCGCAACUGACGCUUAAGCUCGAAGGUGCGGGUAUCGAACAGGAUUAGAUACCCUGGUAGUCCGCACAGUAAACGAUGGAUGCCCGCUGUUGGUACCUGGUAUCAGCGGCUAAGCGAAAGCAUUAAGCAUCCCACCUGGGGGAGUACGCCGGCACGGU